UGGGGAAUAUUGGGCAAUGGGCGAAAGCCUGACCCAGCCACGCCGCGUGAGUGAUGAAGGCCUUCGGGUCGUAAAGCUCUGUGGGGAGGGACGAACAAGCCGGCCAACUACCGGCCCUGACGGUACCUCCUUAGCAAGCACCGGCUAACCAUGUGCCAGCAGCCGCGGUAAUACAUGGGGUGCAAACGUUGCUCGGAAUUAUUGGGCGUAAAGCGCGCGUAGGCGGUCGCUUAAGUCGGAUGUGAAAUCCCUCGGCUUAACUGAGGAAGUGCAUCCGAAACUGAACGGCUAGAGUACGAAAGAGGGUCGCGGAAUUCCCGGUGUAGAGGUGAAAUUCGUAGAUAUCGGGAGGAACACCGGCGGCGAAGGCGGCGACCUGGUUCGAGACUGACGCUGAGGCGCGAAAGCGUGGGGAGCAAACAGG
This 424-nucleotide ribosomal RNA is filed under the name uncultured bacterium. Its description in RNAcentral is "bacterial SSU rRNA". It matches the Rfam family "Bacterial small subunit ribosomal RNA", at positions 355 to 776 of the family's 1533-position model. The record is from RNAcentral.